This 138-nucleotide microRNA precursor is filed under the name Linum usitatissimum (flax). Its description in RNAcentral is "miR172c stem-loop (lus-MIR172c)". Its record names the gene lus-MIR172c. It matches the Rfam family "mir-172 microRNA precursor family". Rfam says of the family: mir-172 has been experimentally verified in Arabidopsis thaliana. Lineage: Eukaryota; Viridiplantae; Streptophyta; Magnoliopsida; Malpighiales; Linaceae. The record is from miRBase by way of RNAcentral.
AGUCAAUAUCGGCAGAUGCGGCAUCUUCAAGAUUCACAAACUUAUCCAAGCCCUCCCAUGACCGAACCGAAUCGGUCGUCGGUUGGGUUAGGUUUUAUUGAGAAUCUUGAUGAUGCUGCAUCGGCAGAUAUAUUGGCU